Molecule: ribosomal RNA, 253 nt
Filed under: uncultured bacterium
Lineage: Bacteria
Description: partial 16S ribosomal RNA
Rfam family: Bacterial small subunit ribosomal RNA
Source: RNAcentral
UACGUAGGUGACAAGCGUUGUCCGGAAUUACUGGGUGUAAAGGGAGCGCAGGCGGGAAGCCAAGUCAGCUGUGAAAACUACGGGCUUAACUUGUAGACUGCAGUUGAAACUGGUUUUCUUGAGUGAAGUAGAGGUUGGCGGAAUUCCGAGUGUAGCGGUGAAAUGCGUAGAUAUUCGGAGGAACACCGGUGGCGAAGGCGGCCAACUGGGCUUUAACUGACGCUGAGGCUCGAAAGUGUGGGGAGCAAACAGG